RNAcentral lists this ribosomal RNA (364 nucleotides) under Staphylococcus aureus. Its description in RNAcentral is "partial 23S ribosomal RNA". It matches the Rfam family "Bacterial large subunit ribosomal RNA", at positions 1 to 358 of the family's 2925-position model. Lineage: Bacteria; Bacillati; Bacillota; Bacilli; Caryophanales; Staphylococcaceae. The record is from RNAcentral.
GAUUAAGUUAUUAAGGGCGCACGGUGGAUGCCUUGGCACUAGAAGCCGAUGAAGGACGUUACUAACGACGAUAUGCUUUGGGGAGCUGUAAGUAAGCUUUGAUCCAGAGAUUUCCGAAUGGGGAAACCCAGCAUGAGUUAUGUCAUGUUAUCGAUAUGUGAAUACAUAGCAUAUCAGAAGGCACACCCGGAGAACUGAAACAUCUUAGUACCCGGAGGAAGAGAAAGAAAAUUCGAUUCCCUUAGUAGCGGCGAGCGAAACGGGAAGAGCCCAAACCAACAAGCUUGCUUGUUGGGGUUGUAGGACACUCUAUACGGAGUUACAAAGGACGACAUUAGACGAAUCAUCUGGAAAGAUGAAUCAA